GAUACGCUGGCGGCGUGCUUACACAUCGCCAGUCGUAACGAACCUUCGGGUUAGUGGCGGACGGGUGAGUAACGCGUGAGAAUCUGCCCUCAGGAGGGGGACCACAGCUGGAAACGGCUGCUAAUACCCCAUAUGCCGCGAGGUGAAAUGAAUUUCGCCUGAGGAUGAGCUCGCGUCUGAUUAGCUAGUUGGUGUAGGUAACGGCUCACCAAGGCAUCGAUCAGUAGCUGGUCUGAGAGGAUGAUCAGCCACACUGGGACUGAGACACGGCCCAGACUCCUACGGGAGGCAGCAGUGGGGAAUUUUCCGCAAUGGGCGAAAGCCUGACGGAGCAACGCCGCGUGAGGGAUGAAGGCCUCUGGGCUGUAAACCUCUUUUAUCAAGGAAGAAGAUCUGACGGUACUUGAUGAAUAAGCCACGGCUAAUUCCGUGCCAGCAGCCGCGGUAAUACGGGAGUGGCAAGCGUUAUCCGGAAUUAUUGGGCGUAAAGACGUCCGCCAGGCGGCACCUUCAAGUCUGCUGUUAAAAAGUGGAGCUUAACUCCAUCAUGGCAGUGGAAACUGUUGGGCUUGAGUGUGGUAGAGGGCAGAGGGAAUUCCCGGUGUAGCGGUGAAAUGCGUAAGAUAUCGGGAAGAACACCAGUGGCGAAGGCGCUCUGCUGGGCCCAUCACUG
Molecule: ribosomal RNA, 673 nt
Filed under: uncultured Synechococcus sp.
Lineage: Bacteria; Bacillati; Cyanobacteriota; Cyanophyceae; Synechococcales; Synechococcaceae
Description: bacterial SSU rRNA
Rfam family: Bacterial small subunit ribosomal RNA
Source: RNAcentral